ACAGCAGUAGCCGCGGUAAUACGGAGGGUGCAAGCGUUAAUCGGAAUUACUGGGCGUAAAGCGCACGCAGGCGGUCUGACAAGUCAGAUGUGAAAUCCCCGGGCUUAACCUGGGAACUGCAUUUGAAACUGUCAGGCUGGAGUCUUGUAGAGGGGGGUGGAAUUCCAGGUGUAGCGGUGAAAUGCGUAGAGAUCUGGAGGAAUACCGGUGGCGAAGGCGGCCCCCUGGACAAAGACUGACGCUCAGGUGCGAAAGCGUGGGGAGCAAACAGGAUUAGAUACCCGUGUAGUCCCUGUCUCUUAUAC
Molecule: ribosomal RNA, 305 nt
Filed under: uncultured bacterium
Lineage: Bacteria
Description: partial 16S ribosomal RNA
Rfam family: Bacterial small subunit ribosomal RNA
Source: RNAcentral